GGAUAAAUGACCGAGUGGUCGAAGGUGUCAGUUUUGAAAACUGAACUAUUUCAAAAAAUAGCAUGAGUUCAAAUCUCAUUUUAUCCU
This is a transfer RNA of 87 nucleotides. It matches the Rfam family "tRNA". Rfam says of the family: Transfer RNA (tRNA) molecules are approximately 80 nucleotides in length. Their secondary structure includes four short double-helical elements and three loops (D, anti-codon, and T loops). Further hydrogen bonds mediate the characteristic L-shaped molecular structure. tRNAs have two regions of fundamental functional importance: the anti-codon, which is responsible for specific mRNA codon recognition, and the 3' end, to which the tRNAs corresponding amino acid is attached (by aminoacyl-tRNA synthetases). tRNAs cope with the degeneracy of the genetic code in two manners: having more than one tRNA (with a specific anti-codon) for a particular amino acid; and 'wobble' base-pairing, i.e. permitting non-standard base-pairing at the 3rd anti-codon position.